RNAcentral lists this ribosomal RNA (404 nucleotides) under uncultured bacterium. Its description in RNAcentral is "partial 16S ribosomal RNA". It matches the Rfam family "Bacterial small subunit ribosomal RNA", at positions 28 to 526 of the family's 1533-position model. The record is from RNAcentral.
GACGAACGCUGGCGGCGUGCUUAACACAUGCAAGUCGAGCGGAGCGGCGAACGGGUGAGUAACGCGUGAGUAACUGCCCCCCUCUAUGGGAUAACAGUUGGAAACGGCUGCUAAUACCGGAUAGUGGGGGAUGACUCGCGUCCUAUCCGCUUGUUGGUGGGGUAGGGGCCUACCAAGGCGACGACGGGUAGCCGGCCUGGGAGGGCGACCGGCCAAAGUGGGCUGAGGGACGGCCCAAAGUCCUACGGGAGGGAGGAGAGGGGAAUACUGCACAAUGGGGGAAACCCUGAAGCAGGAACGCGCGUGCGGAAUAACGGCCUUGGGGUUGUAAACCGCUUGCAGCCAUGACGCGGUAGUGGCAGAAGAAGCACCGGCUAACUACGUGCCAGCAGCCGCGGUAAUAC